CGCCUCAUGAAGAACCUAUAAGAGGUCCAGCCUGCCCAGUGACUCUGUUCAACGGCCGCGGUAUCCUAACCGUGCGAAGGUAGCGUAAUCACUUGUUCUUUAAAUAAGGACUAGUAUGAAUGGCACCACGAAGGUUAUACUGUCUCCUUUUUCCAAUCAGUGAAACUAAUCUUCCCGUGAAGAAGCGGGAAUAAUCUUAUAAGACGAGAAGACCCUAUGGAGCUUUAAAUUAUCAACAAUUAUCUUUUUUUAAUUUUACUAAAACAGAAUCAAUUCUGAUAAUAUGAUUGUUAAUUUUCGGUUGGGGUGACCGCGGAGUAAAAUUUAUCCUCCACGAUGAACAGGACAUGCUCCUAAACAAAGAAUUACAAUUCAAAGCAUCAAAAAAUUGACAUUAUUGACCCAAUACUUUGAUCAACGAACCAAGUUACCCUAGGGAUAACAGCGCAAUCUAUCUUAAGAGUUCAUAUCGACAGAUAGGCUUACGACCUCGAUGUUGGAUCAGGGUAUCCCAGUGGUGCAGCCGCUACUAAAGGUUCGUUUGUUCAACGAUUAAAACCCU
This 562-nucleotide ribosomal RNA is filed under the name Agalychnis lemur (lemur leaf frog). Its description in RNAcentral is "Hylomantis lemur (lemur leaf frog) partial 16S ribosomal RNA". It matches the Rfam family "Bacterial large subunit ribosomal RNA", at positions 1827 to 2597 of the family's 2925-position model. Lineage: Eukaryota; Metazoa; Chordata; Amphibia; Anura; Hylidae. The record is from RNAcentral.